UGCAGAAUCCCGUGAAUCAUCGAGUCUUUGAACGCAAGUUGCGCCCGACGCCAUUAGGUCGAGGGCACGCCUGCCUGGGCGUCACGC
This 87-nucleotide ribosomal RNA is filed under the name Tetrastigma hypoglaucum. RNAcentral's name for it is "partial 5.8S ribosomal RNA". It matches the Rfam family "5.8S ribosomal RNA", at positions 73 to 154 of the family's 154-position model. From Rfam's summary of the family: 5.8S ribosomal RNA (5.8S rRNA) is a component of the large subunit of the eukaryotic ribosome. It is transcribed by RNA polymerase I as part of the 45S precursor that also contains 18S and 28S rRNA. The record is from RNAcentral. RNAcentral also lists the same sequence under 1 other name. Lineage: Eukaryota; Viridiplantae; Streptophyta; Magnoliopsida; Vitales; Vitaceae.